UCGAGGAUAAACGCAUACUGCAUAUAACAAAAGGACUGAGAUGGAAUAUGACUAGACAGAUUAGACUCCUUCAUUUAAUUCAUGGAAGAAUUUAGAAAGUUUUAGAGAAAUUCUUUUCUUAUACAACUUGCUUUUUAUUGUCUAUAAAAAUGAUCAAAUCUCCUGGACUCAGCUAAAAGAUGAGCUCCUGUUUCUUAUGUCUGCGUACACACUUGAUGAUGACCAUGGAGAGGAUCACCAGAGCCAGCAUGCCUCCUAUAGAUGCUCCGACUGCCACUGCGAUGGUCGAGUCUCUGGGAGGAGGCACUGCACACACAACCAACAGGAAGUUCAUCAGCUCAGGAUCAUCAGGAACACACCCAAGUGGUGGAAGCUUCAUUGACAUCUUUUAAAAACACCGGUCACGUCACAUUCACAGGAUAUCUCUGGACCCCAGCGACUCUGAGCAGGAUGAAGUGCUUACUGAAAGGAAAUGACUCCUGAUGCUGAGCUGUUAGGAUCAUGGCUGGCUUCACUUCAACACAUUACUGCAUCUCCACUGAUCUUCUCAUUAAAAGCUUUUGAAAAACAGAUGACUAAAGACCCAAAGUGGUUUAGCUUGUGGCAUCUGAGAGAAUUAUGAAUUAAUCUACUGUUAAAGACUUUAAUGGCAAAAUGAUUUUGUUGAGAAAGAUAAAGCCUGUGUACUAUUUUAAACAGUAUUGCGUUGGGCAAAUAAAUAUUUGAAUUUUUCUGCUGUGUAAUAGAAGUGAUUAGCUAAUGCUUCAAGGAAAAGAGUGGAAGUUUGCUUAGACAUAAAUAAGCUACUUAAUGAUGCAGGAUGGUGGUGCUGCUUUUCAAGCCUCUGCUCAGAUGGUUGGCUAUAAUCUCUGGCCACAGGCUGCGUCUGCGCAUCUCAUCGGCAUGGCAACCAGAGCGAGGGCACUGUGCAGGGCUCGCAGCACAGUUUUGUACUUUGCCUAAACCCCCUACCCAUUCUGCUCAUCUCUAAAGCUCUUUCUCUCUGACUUCCAGCUCCCUCUUCAUUCCUUAUUCCCUCUCUCUCUGUGCAGUGGUAAAGCCUAAGUACAGCUUUUAGAUAAAACAAGUUAAAAAGUUCACACUUUUUAAAUUUUCACACAUAAUGUAGAUAGAUAGAUAGAUAGAUAGAUAGAUAGAUAGAUAGAUAGAUAGAUAGAUAGAUAGAUAGAUAGAUAGAUAGAUAGAUAGAUAGAUAGAUAGAUAGAUAGAUAGUAAGUGCUGUUUGUUUGGAGGAUAAUCUGCAAAUGAAAGUUAAUUACUGGAAGUGAAUAUCUGUUAAAAAAAGCCUACAGCAGAAAGAGGUGUGGCUUUCUUAGAAAUCUGUCAGUCUUGUCAACAGUGUAAACCUUUAGUAAAAAAAAAAGUUUGAAUGUAAAAUGAAAUGAAUAAAAUGAUGUUCACAUGGCUACAGACUUGGUAAGAGGACAUGUGUGCCCACCCUGCACCUGUCAGUCAUCUCAUCAAUCACACCCUUUUCUGCACCUGUCAAUCAUCUCACCAAUCAUGUCCGUUUAAUGAUCCUCAGAUAACUUCAAUAAAGCUCUUUAAUCAGAAGGAAAAUUCCUGAGGUCUGGACUGAACACAGUUCAAUAAAGAAUCUGUAGAGUUUAAGUGUAAGUUGUCUUCAUUAACUAACAUGACAUGACGGGUUUAAAACUUCUCCUGCAGCCAGACACUAGAGGGCCUCAGAGAUGUUCUGGCUCCUGGCUUCACUCUGCUACAGCCUCCACCUACGGCAUAUACAGUAAACACACUUUGGCUUCAUCUCUUGCAGAAUCACUGAGUUUCCAGUGAUGUGUUCAGUAUGUUAUUAAUUAUAACUAUAAUACACAGAGAAUGAGAGUGUGUGCCCAGCGAUGGGUUGGCACUCUGUCCUGCCUUGAUGCCCGAUGACUCCUGAGAUCGGAUAAGCGGUACAGACAAUGAAAGGAAAUGAAAUGAAAAUAAUACACGGAAUCCUGUUAAAUUAGUAAACGUUCGACAUAGCUGUAAAUGAUGUACAGCAGGUUACAGUCAUCAUCAUUAAUGUUUAUAAGUUAGAACAGGUUUUAGGUCUAUGCAUAAGUUACAUUUAUUCAGACAUACAAAAGUCUACAGUUACACAGUCUACAAUAUUGAUACUUCACUUUCACACUGUGGACUCU
Molecule: long non-coding RNA, 2165 nt
Organism: Hemibagrus wyckioides
Lineage: Eukaryota; Metazoa; Chordata; Actinopteri; Siluriformes; Bagridae
Exons: 4
Source: RefSeq, a predicted model, not a curated record